CGGUCCGCGGGGGAACGAGCGCGGCGCCAGGUGCGCUCGGGCGCUCCAGAGACCGAGCGGCUCCGUGAAACCGGCUUUGUUCGCCUCCGUUUGCAUCUCGGACAGCCCCCGGAAAAUGUACAAGUGACGCCCCGAAUCUUGUCGUUUCCCUCCAGGUCUUCAGGCAGCCCCGGAAAGUGUCUAAAUGUUUCCCUCCAGCCCUCCUUUCUUCCUAGGGGCCGCAGGACUUCCCGGCACGACUGUGGCCUGUUUGGCCAUGAAACCUGACUAGUAGUCAAAAUAAACGCGUUUGAAAAGGUUUUACCUGGAGACAAAUGGGACAGCUAAGCUAAAGUGGGGGAAUGGAGAGGCUAAGGGGGAAGAUUUUAAGGAGCAGGGCAGCAGUACAGUGACCAGGAAGUAAUUUUGCUGCGGGACGUGCACAGGACACCGCCCCGAGCCCUACACGGGGCUCCGCUACUCCAUCCCCAGCACCUCCCCAGCUACCUUGUAGGCGAAGUGUAACCAGAACUGUACCACCCUGAGGUGACUGGCCCUUUCCUAACCGGGGCGCCUAGGAGGCAGCACUGGGUCUACGGCAAUCACCUAACGGAGCUUCAGGAAUGGGAGACAUUCAAAGUACGGCAAUUCUUUACCCUUUCCCGGAUUUUCUCAGUGCACAAAGCUUUCAUUCCCACUGCCCUCCAAGGAGCCCAGCGAGCACGGACGGAGCUGCCCUCUCUCACAGGAAAGCCCGGGUCCUGCUGCUGCGGGGCAGGAGGAGGUGGCCGAGGUUCAGAGAGACAGCAAAGCGAGGCAGCAAGCACCGGAGCGGAGGGACUCCCAGGUUUAAAAGGAGCUGCACGUGUUCCGUUGUUGUCAUCACAAGGCCCACUGUUCUCUACACCUUUCAGCCUCAGGAUCACCACCUCCAUACGGUUUCGCUCCCUAGCACGCUGACUUCUUACUCCCUCUGCCUUCAUACAGCUGUAGCUCCUUAUCAGUCUUUCCCACCCAAGCCCAGCUGACUGCAGAUAAGGCCCAGUUUAUCUUCCCACCACGCCUUCUCCGUGAGAGCACUUCGAUACCGGGAAGCCAGAUUUCCAAGAAAUAAGAAAGCAGAACACGUGUGUUGGAUUUUGCUUGGUUUUUUCUUUCUUUUUUUUUGUUCCUUUCGCUUGCUUUAAAAAAAAUAAAUAAACAAAAAACAACA
Molecule: long non-coding RNA, 1192 nt
Filed under: Cyanistes caeruleus (blue tit)
Lineage: Eukaryota; Metazoa; Chordata; Aves; Passeriformes; Paridae
Description: lncRNA (ENSCCEG00000006839.1)
Source: RNAcentral